RNAcentral lists this transfer RNA (72 nucleotides) under Ictidomys tridecemlineatus (thirteen-lined ground squirrel). RNAcentral describes it as "Spermophilus tridecemlineatus (thirteen-lined ground squirrel) tRNA". It matches the Rfam family "tRNA". From Rfam's summary of the family: Transfer RNA (tRNA) molecules are approximately 80 nucleotides in length. Their secondary structure includes four short double-helical elements and three loops (D, anti-codon, and T loops). Further hydrogen bonds mediate the characteristic L-shaped molecular structure. tRNAs have two regions of fundamental functional importance: the anti-codon, which is responsible for specific mRNA codon recognition, and the 3' end, to which the tRNAs corresponding amino acid is attached (by aminoacyl-tRNA synthetases). tRNAs cope with the degeneracy of the genetic code in two manners: having more than one tRNA (with a specific anti-codon) for a particular amino acid; and 'wobble' base-pairing, i.e. permitting non-standard base-pairing at the 3rd anti-codon position. Lineage: Eukaryota; Metazoa; Chordata; Mammalia; Rodentia; Sciuridae. The record is from Rfam by way of RNAcentral.
AGGGUUGUGGCUCAGCGGUAGAGCGCUCGCUUAGCAAGCGUGAGGCCCUGGGUUGGAUCCUCAGCACCGCAU